AGGCCCGCGGCUCAGCCUGGACAGAGCGGCGUCGUGGGUUCAAAUCCCACCGGGCCCG
RNAcentral lists this transfer RNA (58 nucleotides) under Pyrobaculum sp. Its description in RNAcentral is "tRNA-Leu". Lineage: Archaea; Thermoproteati; Thermoproteota; Thermoprotei; Thermoproteales; Thermoproteaceae. The record is from RNAcentral.